This 253-nucleotide ribosomal RNA is filed under the name uncultured bacterium. Its description in RNAcentral is "partial 16S ribosomal RNA". It matches the Rfam family "Bacterial small subunit ribosomal RNA", at positions 524 to 776 of the family's 1533-position model. The record is from RNAcentral.
UACGAGAGGCCCAAACGUUAUUCGGAAUUACUGGGCUUAAAGAGUUCGUAGGCGGCAUUGCAAGUAGGGUGUGAAAGCCCUCGGCUCAACCGAGGAAUUGCGCUCUAAACUGCAGUGCUCGAGGAACCUAGAGGUGAGCAGAACAGAUGGUGGAGCGGUGAAAUGCGUUGAUAUUAUCUGGAAUACCGGAGGCGAAGGCGGCUCACUGGGGGUUUUCUGACGCUGAGGAACGAAAGCCAGGGUAGCGAACGGG